UGGUUCUGGCAUCGAUGAAGAACGCAGCGAAAUGCGAUAAGUAAUGCGAAUUGCAGAAUUCCGUGAGUCAUCGAAUCUUUGAACGCACAUUGCGCCCUUUGGUAUUCCGAAGGGCAUGCCUGUUCGAGCGUCAUUAUCAACCCUCAAGCCUGGCUUGGUGUUGGACUUGUGGUAGACCUUUGGGUCAACCGGUCCUAAAGACAAUGACGGUGUCCGUGGGACCCCCGGUACAAGGAGCUUUGACGAGCAUGUACUGUACGACCCACGGGCCCGGUCUACCUCUAUUUUUCUCAGGUUGACCUCGGAUCAGGUAGGAAUACCCGCUGA
This 327-nucleotide unclassified non-coding RNA is filed under the name uncultured fungus. Its description in RNAcentral is "partial contains 5.8S ribosomal RNA and internal transcribed spacer 2". The stretch from base 1 to 133 matches the Rfam family "5.8S ribosomal RNA", at positions 22 to 154 of the family's 154-position model. Lineage: Eukaryota; Fungi. The record is from RNAcentral.